AUUGAACGCUGGCGGAAUGCUUUACACAUGCAAGUCGAACGGCAGCACGGGAGCUUGCUCCUGGUGGCGAGUGGCGAACGGGUGAGUAAUGCGUCGGAACGUGCCGAGUAAUGGGGAAUAACGCAGCGAAAGUUGUGCUAAUACCGCAUACGCCCUGAGGGGGAAAGUGGGGGAUCGCAAGACCUCACGUUAUUCGAGCGGCCGACGUCUGAUUAGCUAGUUGGUGGGGUAAAGGCCUACCAAGGCGACGAUCAGUAGCGGGUCUGAGAGGAUGAUCCGCCACACUGGGACUGAGACACGGCCCAGACUCCUACGGGAGGCAGCAGUGGGGAAUUUUGGACAAUGGGGGCAACCCUGAUCCAGCCAUUCCGCGUGAGUGAAGAAGGCCUGGUUGUAAGACGUCUUCUAGCU
This 411-nucleotide ribosomal RNA is filed under the name uncultured bacterium. RNAcentral's name for it is "bacterial SSU rRNA". It matches the Rfam family "Bacterial small subunit ribosomal RNA", at positions 30 to 441 of the family's 1533-position model. The record is from RNAcentral.